Molecule: transfer RNA, 74 nt
Filed under: Streptomyces phage Warpy
Lineage: Duplodnaviria; Heunggongvirae; Uroviricota; Caudoviricetes; Stanwilliamsviridae
Description: tRNA-His
Rfam family: tRNA
About the family: Transfer RNA (tRNA) molecules are approximately 80 nucleotides in length.
Source: RNAcentral
GUGGCUAUAGCAUAAAAGUAAUGUUCAGGACUGUGAAUCCUGAGAAGAGGGGGCGGUACCCUCUAGUCACCCCA